RNAcentral lists this ribosomal RNA (435 nucleotides) under Vigna oblongifolia. Its description in RNAcentral is "eukaryotic LSU rRNA". The stretch from base 284 to 435 matches the Rfam family "Eukaryotic large subunit ribosomal RNA", at positions 1 to 152 of the family's 3401-position model. Lineage: Eukaryota; Viridiplantae; Streptophyta; Magnoliopsida; Fabales; Fabaceae. The record is from RNAcentral.
ACUCGAGUCUUUGACGCAAGUUGCGCCCGAAGCCAUUAGGUUGAGGGCACGCCUGCCUGGGUGUCACAUUUGGUCACCACUAAUGCAAUUGUGCAUUGAGGUGUAAGUUGGCUUCCUGCGAGAAAGUCCUCGUGGUUGGUUGAAAACUCAGUUAACGGUACAGUCCCCUGUGAUUAAUGGUGGAUGAGAAACUCUCGAGACCAGUCAUUGCUUGUGGUACUCUGGCCGUUAUAAUUGAUUUACUCUACUGUGUCGUUUGUAGAUAACAAUGAGGCACUUACUGAGACCUCAGGUCAGGCGGGGCUACCCGCUGAGUUUAAGCAUAUCAAUAAGCGGAGGAAAAGAAACUAACAAGGAUUCCCUUAGUAACGGCGAGCGAACUGGGAACAGCCCACCAUGAAAAUCGAUCGCCUUUGGCGUUUGAAUUGUAGUAAG